This 253-nucleotide ribosomal RNA is filed under the name uncultured bacterium. Its description in RNAcentral is "partial 16S ribosomal RNA". It matches the Rfam family "Bacterial small subunit ribosomal RNA", at positions 524 to 776 of the family's 1533-position model. The record is from RNAcentral.
UACGUAGGGGGAUAGCGUUGUCCGGAUUUAUUGGGCGUAAAGAGCGUGUAGGCGGCCAGGUAGGUCUGCUGUGAAAACUCGAGGCUCAACCUCGAGACGUCGGCGGAAACCAUCUGGCUAGAGUCCGGAAGAGGAGAGUGGAAUUCCUGGUGUAGCGGUGAAAUGCGCAGAUAUCGGGAGGAACACCAAUGGCGAAGGCAGCUCGCUGGGACGUUACUGACGCUGAGACGCGAAAGCUAGGGGAGCGAAUGGG